Molecule: ribosomal RNA, 496 nt
Filed under: uncultured bacterium
Lineage: Bacteria
Description: partial 16S ribosomal RNA
Rfam family: Bacterial small subunit ribosomal RNA
Source: RNAcentral
GAUGAACGCUGGCGGCGUGCCUAAUACAUGCAAGUCGAGCGAACGGACGAGAAGCUUGCUUCUCUGAUGUUAGCGGCGGACGGGUGAGUAACACGUGGAUAACCUACCUAUAAGACUGGGAUAACUUCGGGAAACCGGAGCUAAUACCGGAUAAUAUUUUGAACCGCAUGGUUCAAAAGUGAAAGACGGUCUUGCUGUCACUUAUAGAUGGAUCCGCGCUGCAUUAGCUAGUUGGUAAGGUAACGGCUUACCAAGGCAACGAUGCAUAGCCGACCUGAGAGGGGGAUCGGCCAAACUGGAACUGAGACACGGUCCAGACUCCUACGGGAGGCAGCAGUAGGGAAUCUUCCGAAAUGGGCGAAAGCCUGACGGAGCAACGCCGCGUGAGUGAUGAAGGUCUUCGGAUCGUAAAACUCUGUUAUUAGGGAAGAACAAAUGUGUAAGUAACUGUGCACAUCUGGACGGUACCUAAUCAGAAAGCCACGGCUAACUACGU